RNAcentral lists this unclassified non-coding RNA (1685 nucleotides) under Leishmania donovani. Its description in RNAcentral is "gene:LdHU3.30.0440(CDS-product:hypothetical_prote in_conserved)". The record is from RNAcentral. Lineage: Eukaryota; Euglenozoa; Kinetoplastea; Trypanosomatida; Trypanosomatidae.
GAGCCUGCUUACCUCAUCCCCGCGUCCUUCCCUCUACCUCUCUCCCUUUCUCGCAUCGCUUCCGUGUAACCCUAGACAGGCACACGCACACACGUACGCACGAGGGAGAGACAGGCGCACACGCACACCCCAUAGACGCCCUUCACACCAGCUUCACGCGCUUCCCGUCAGAAACAUUUUCGGUUGCAUCUCCUUCCUCACUGGCCCACUGUGCACCACCGAGCAAGACACACCGCGGUUUGUCUGUAGGUGCCACCACCGUUACGUUGCCCAUCCACUGGGCUUCCCUUUCCACAGAGCUCGCAUAGGGACACAAGCUCGCGAACUCGCCAGGCAAGGGCCGACGAAGGUGGAAGAGCGAGCGCGCCACUGUCUCGUCGUGCCCUUUUCUCGGUUCUCCUUUCGUGGCAUCUUUUCUCGCACGUGCAGCCCACCACGCCUGCCCCGAUAGGGCCGGCAGGCAAGAGGGGAGGGACUGGGGACUGUCAUUGGCGUUCGUAUCGCUUCUGCGUGUGUCAAAGAGCGGACGGCGCGCGAGCUUCAGGCGACGUGGCUUGCAGAGUGCACCUGUGAAGGCGCAGGCAUACACGCUGACCUUCGCGCAGAUACUAAAGGGAGGGAGCACCACGCCGUGAAGCUCUCUCGCGAGUCUUGCGCGACGGCAGUCACAUAUACGAUCCGCUGAGUCAUUGCACUUUUCCUGAGCUUCGGUCGAACGUGUGUGAGCGAACUCUGCGGACCGAAGCACGUCCAAUGGCGUUAUCGGGACUUCUCUGCCGCGUGAGUUGCUACGUGGCGCCGUCGCUGAGCGGCACGCGGCUUUACCGCGGUGUCAUGAGCCGCGCCUCCAGCACCGCGCUGGCGCUGCCCAUCAGCGCCUCAUUGACGUCCUCCUCGGUGGUGCCCUUGAGCUACGCCGGCUCCUUGCGGGAGGGCAGGCGCGGCUACGCUCAAGAGCGCAACCCGCACGAUAGCAAUACGGAGGACAUCUCCAACACCUUCUUCGACGUCCAGGACGUGGAUGCGGAUCGUCUCACCCACUUUUACUGGGACUCCAACGACGACGCGGACACUCCGUACGACACCGUCUCUCUGGACAGCCUCUUUGGUGAAGGGGAGGCGGAUGAGUGGUCUGGGGAGUCGCUGGCCUUCGUGGACGAGCGCGACCAGCUCCUGCUGGGUGAGGAGUACCUUAAGUGAGCCUGGAGAGCAGAGGGACGCUUGGUUUUGGAGACCUGUGGGGUAGAUAAGCGGAGGUGGUCGAGUGUGGACAGGCGGCUGGGCCACAGAUGCACUGGCGCAUGAUCUCCUUAGCUGUGGCCGCCCACUUGUACACGCGCACGUACAUCCGCAGGUGUGCACUGCUGGCGCCUCUGUGCCUCACGAAAGCACCGCGGUGGUGUUUUGUGCACUGCUGUUUGGCGGCUGAAGGCGGCCCUCGCCACCCUCGUGCUUCUCUUGUCUCCGCCCUCCGCCCUCCUUCUCCUCCCUCCCCUGCCACUCUGCGUAGGUGUGAUGUGCCUGUGGUGCUGCCGUCGGGAGUAUCGCCGCCGAGGGCUCUUUUACCUUGUUGCGUGACAGACAACUAGACCAAUGCCCGCAUGCGUGCGUGUUCGUGUCUCACGCGUACCUGAGCUCAUAGAGGCCACACAGAAUGAACAUGGAGGAUGACAUAAAGAGCGCAG